This 482-nucleotide ribosomal RNA is filed under the name uncultured bacterium. RNAcentral's name for it is "partial 16S ribosomal RNA". It matches the Rfam family "Bacterial small subunit ribosomal RNA", at positions 30 to 507 of the family's 1533-position model. The record is from RNAcentral.
AUUGAACGCUGGCGGCAUGCCUUACACAUGCAAGUCGAACGGUAACGGGCCUUCGGGUGCCGACGAGUGUCGAACGGGUGCGUAAUACAUCGGAACGUGCCCGAUCGUGGGGGGUAACGAGGCGAAAGCUUUGCUAAUACCGCAUACGAUCUACGGAUGAAAGCAGGGGACCGCAAGGCCUUGCGCGGACGGAGCGGCCGCUGGCAGAUUAGGUAGUUGGUGGGAUAAAAGCUUACCAAGCCGACGAUCUGUAGCUGGUCUGAGAGGAUGAUCAGCCACACUGGGACUGAGACACGGCCCAGACUCCUACGGGAGGCAGCAGUGGGGAAUUUUGGACAAUGGGCGCAAGCCUGAUCCAGCCAUGCCGCGUGCAGGAUGAAGGCCUUCGGGUUGUAAACUGCUUUUGUACGGAACGAAAAGCCUUCUUUUAAUACAGGAGGGUCAUGACGGUACCGUAAGAAUAAGCACCGGCUAACUACGUG